UGAGUAUCGGAUGUGGUCGCUGCCAGCGUAGGGAAACCGGCUGGGAGAGGAAAGUCCGGGCUUCACAGAGCAGGAUGCCUGCUAACGGCAGGUUGCGGUGACGCACAGGAAAGUGUAACAGAGAGUAGACCGCCGGCUUUGGCCGGUAAGGGUGCAAGGGCAGUGUAAGAGACUACCGCC
This 180-nucleotide RNase P RNA is filed under the name Oribacterium sp. Its description in RNAcentral is "partial RNase P RNA component class A". It matches the Rfam family "Bacterial RNase P class A", at positions 1 to 182 of the family's 367-position model. From Rfam's summary of the family: Ribonuclease P (RNase P) is a ubiquitous endoribonuclease, found in archaea, bacteria and eukarya as well as chloroplasts and mitochondria. The record is from RNAcentral. Lineage: Bacteria; Bacillati; Bacillota; Clostridia; Lachnospirales; Lachnospiraceae.